UUACCGUAGGUGAACCUGCGGAAGGAUCAUUAUUGUAUAACCGAGGUGCGAGGGCUGUCGCUGACCCGAAAGGUCGUGCACGCCCGAGUGCCCUCACACACAUCCAUCUCACCCCUAUGUGCACCACCGCGUGGGUACCCAUUUGGCUUGUUCGGAGGGGGGCUUACGUUUUCACACAAACUUUGUAUGCAGUGUAGAAUGUAUUUUUUGUUUUUGCGAUCACGCAAUCAAUACAACUUUCAACAACGGAUCUCUUGGCUCUC
RNAcentral lists this unclassified non-coding RNA (263 nucleotides) under plant metagenome. RNAcentral's name for it is "partial contains small subunit ribosomal RNA, internal transcribed spacer 1, and 5.8S ribosomal RNA". The record is from RNAcentral.